AGAGCUGGAUAUGCAAAUAUCGUUGAAUCGCCUCUCAGUCAUCAUCUGACUGCCUUACGAUCGUUACCAUGGUAACACUACCCGCCAACUGAGUUCGUUGCCAACCGAUCGGUGUACUUGUUCAACGGAGCAAGAACAACAAAGUAAUCACGUUACAUAAAAUUUAAACGGGAGAUUAGCAAGGCUUUCUUUCGUAACAUUUUUUCCCAUUAGAACAAUACAAAUGUUCCACGGUUCAUUGAACAAGAAUCUACGUGUUACGGCUCUCUAAGUGUAAACUAACUCGCCCAACAAUAAAACAAAACGACCGUCGAAAAUGGUUUGAUGAAAAUUCAUAAGGUUCUUUUAAAACUAGACUGCACUAAAGGUAAUCGAACGAACGGAUGCGGCCUAAAAUCGCAAUCACUGAAUUGCAUGCAGAAGAGUGUUGAUAAAACUUAUCGAUAAGCUGUGUCAG
Molecule: long non-coding RNA, 457 nt
Organism: Aedes aegypti (yellow fever mosquito)
Lineage: Eukaryota; Metazoa; Arthropoda; Insecta; Diptera; Culicidae
Exons: 3
Source: RefSeq, a predicted model, not a curated record